GAAAUUGAGAGACUACCCAGAGAAGGAGAGACCGUCUCAGCCAAGAGUGGGCAGACACUUGCAGGUGGGAAGGGAGCCAAUCAGGCAGCUUGUGGUAGUAAACUCUCAUACCCAACGUACUUUGCGGGGCAGGUGGGUGAGGAUGCACAUGGGAAGUUGAUCAUUGAGGCGUUGAGAAAUGGAGGAGUUCAUCUUGAUUAUGUAAGGCAUGUUGGUGAUGUGCCUACUGG
Molecule: unclassified non-coding RNA, 230 nt
Filed under: Hevea brasiliensis (rubber tree)
Lineage: Eukaryota; Viridiplantae; Streptophyta; Magnoliopsida; Malpighiales; Euphorbiaceae
Source: RNAcentral